Molecule: ribosomal RNA, 453 nt
Filed under: uncultured Prevotellaceae bacterium
Lineage: Bacteria; Pseudomonadati; Bacteroidota; Bacteroidia; Bacteroidales; Prevotellaceae
Description: bacterial SSU rRNA
Rfam family: Bacterial small subunit ribosomal RNA
Source: RNAcentral
ACGGGAGGCAGCAGUGAGGAAUAUUGGUCAAUGGACGGAAGUCUGAACCAGCCAUGCCGCGUGCAGGAAUAAGGCCCUAUGGGUCGUAAACUGCUUUUGUGGUGGAGCAAUAAGUCGUACGUGUACGGCGAUGAGAGUACAUCACGAAUAAGCAUCGGCUAACUCCGUGCCAGCAGCCGCGGUAAUACGGAAGAUGCGAGCGUUAUCCGGAUUUAUUGGGUUUAAGGGGAGCGUAGGCGGGUCCUUAAGUCAGUGGUCAAAGCGUGUGGCUCAACCAUACCACGCCGUUGAUACUGGGGACCUUGAGUGCACAUAAGGAUGGUGGAAUUCGUCGUGUAGCGGUGAAAUGCUUAGAUAUGACGAAGAACUCCGAUUGCGAAGGCAGCUGUCCGGGGUGUAACUGACGCUAAUGCUCGAAAGUGCGGGUAUCAAACAGGAUUAGAUACCCUGGUA